RNAcentral lists this non-coding RNA (85 nucleotides) under bovine gut metagenome. RNAcentral describes it as "TPP riboswitch (THI element)". It matches the Rfam family "TPP riboswitch aptamer (THI element)", at positions 6 to 94 of the family's 105-position model. Rfam says of the family: Vitamin B(1) in its active form thiamin pyrophosphate (TPP) is an essential coenzyme that is synthesised by coupling of pyrimidine and thiazole moieties in bacteria. The previously detected thiamin-regulatory element, thi box was extended, resulting in a new, highly conserved RNA secondary structure, the THI element, which is widely distributed in eubacteria and also occurs in some archaea. Analysis of operon structures identified a large number of new candidate thiamin-regulated genes, mostly transporters, in various prokaryotic organisms. The record is from RNAcentral.
CCGCUGGGGGCGCCGAAAGGCUGAGAUGGACGGAUGUCCGGUCCCUUGGAACCUGAAGUGGAUAAUCCCACCGUAGGGAAGCGGA